Long non-coding RNA from Oncorhynchus kisutch (coho salmon), 410 nucleotides. RefSeq lists it as uncharacterized. Lineage: Eukaryota; Metazoa; Chordata; Actinopteri; Salmoniformes; Salmonidae. The record is from RefSeq and is a predicted model, not a curated record. The transcript has 3 exons.
GCGAGGGGCGAGUCACUGUUGACAGACAGCCAGGCUGCCUUCUUUAGAGUAGACAACAGUAGUCAAGCCACUGAAAGCAACAUAACUUCGCUAACGUUAGAUGGCUUUGAUGAUGGUUAUAUUGAAGGCCAGUGAUUGUGGGGGAACUGCCAGAGCUGAACCAGUGACUCUGUGGUUAUGGAGCGUGGCCACCACCUGUGCCAUGACUGCUUGGCAGUUGAAGCCUGCAGCAGUAGGCCUACACUAAGAAAGAAGGGCCACUUGAUCAUGUACAUCUGACCCCAGGACCAACCUGCUAUGACCAAUGAGGACUUAAACAGUAAUUUUAUACCACUGUAGAAAUACUGACUCAUUUUCAUAUCAUCUUUAUCAUAUGUAUAAGGACAUGAUAUGUUUUACAUCAGUCGACA